This 98-nucleotide microRNA precursor is filed under the name Nicotiana sylvestris (wood tobacco). RNAcentral describes it as "MIR6152 microRNA precursor family". It matches the Rfam family "MIR6152 microRNA precursor family". Lineage: Eukaryota; Viridiplantae; Streptophyta; Magnoliopsida; Solanales; Solanaceae. RNAcentral also lists the same sequence under 1 other name. The record is from Rfam by way of RNAcentral.
CGGGUAUGUAGGGUCGUGACAGACUGUAUUCACGGCGUGAAAUAGGGGAUUACACUGUUUUUAAACGGAAAGUGAAUCAAUUAACAUAAUAGACUCCU